UCGCCAAAGUUUUCCCUCGGCUUCCUCAAAACCGCCGCGAGCCCCGCUGCGCCCGCCCGCACCUGCCCCCUCGGCGGGUCCUACCUUGGCUGAGCAGGAAGCAGCAGAGCAGGAGCAGGAGCAAAGUUGCUGGAUAUUUCUCGCUGCUGCUGCAUGGGAGCAGGGAACCAGGCGCACACGAAGCUAGGAAGGAGACUGCAGCCCUGUUGCGUCCUCUAAUGUCUCCAGCUUGUAGCUACCAGCCUCAGGGCCAUUUCCAUCCCUCAGGGAAUGGAUUGCCCUGUCCAAGAAGCAGCCGAAAGCAGAUGAAUCAUGAACACAACUGUACCGGUGCAGUUUUACAAGCGACCUGGUUGGGACUCUGUAAGAACGGGGAAUCUAGAGAGUGGCUGGGUCGAAAACGCUAAGCCCCCAACCCAACUCCCACUGAGGUCUCUGCUUCCUUUUUAUGACUUCCCCCAAUUAGAUGACACAGUUCCACCUCCUCACAGCCUAAUGAGCCACAGCUGCCAGCCCUUCUCUGCACGGGGGACAGUCUCGAAGGGCUCUCUGUUGAGAAAGCUUAACUCCUUGCUAGCCCAGACUGGCCACAUGUACCCAAGCACUGCCCUCUGCUAUGGAUAAUUACUGUAGUAUUUCUAUUGUGUGUUCACCAAGGAAGACUCCAAAGUCCUUUGCAUUCCUACCAAAAAGAAACAUGAACCAUAAUGAGAGAUCAAGUAUCCUUACUACUGGAAUGCAGCUAUUUCUGGGGUGGAACAUGACAGCUUGUAGACCAUGCACAGUUACACUGCCCAACAAUUAAGG
RNAcentral lists this long non-coding RNA (807 nucleotides) under Crocodylus porosus (Australian saltwater crocodile). RNAcentral's name for it is "lncRNA (ENSCPRG00005001198.1)". The record is from RNAcentral. Lineage: Eukaryota; Metazoa; Chordata; Crocodylia; Crocodylidae.